This 856-nucleotide ribosomal RNA is filed under the name Acinetobacter sp. AKB-2008-HE21. RNAcentral describes it as "bacterial SSU rRNA". It matches the Rfam family "Bacterial small subunit ribosomal RNA", at positions 22 to 872 of the family's 1533-position model. The record is from RNAcentral. Lineage: Bacteria; Pseudomonadati; Pseudomonadota; Gammaproteobacteria; Moraxellales; Moraxellaceae.
GCUCAGAUUGAACGCUGGCGGCAGGCUUAACACAUGCAAGUCGAGCGGAGAUGAGGUGCUUGCACCUUAUCUUAGCGGCGGACGGGUGAGUAAUGCUUAGGAAUCUGCCAUUUAGUGGGGGACAACAUUCCGAAAGGAAUGCUAAUACCGCAUACGUCCUACGGGAGAAAGCAGGGGAUCUUCGGACCUUGCGCUAAAUGAUGAGCCUAAGUCGGAUUAGCUAGUUGGUGGGGUAAAGGCCUACCAAGGCGACGAUCUGUAGCGGGUCUGAGAGGAUGAUCCGCCACACUGGGACUGAGACACGGCCCAGACUCCUACGGGAGGCAGCAGUGGGGAAUAUUGGACAAUGGGCGGAAGCCUGAUCCAGCCAUGCCGCGUGUGUGAAGAAGGCCUUUUGGUUGUAAAGCACUUUAAGCGAGGAGGAGGCUACUAGUACUAAUACUACUGGAUAGUGGACGUUACUCGCAGAAUAAGCACCGGCUAACUCUGUGCCAGCAGCCGCGGUAAUACAGAGGGUGCGAGCGUUAAUCGGAUUUACUGGGCGUAAAGCGUGCGUAGGCGGCUUUUUAAGUCGGAUGUGAAAUCCCCGAGCUUAACUUGGGAAUUGCAUUCGAUACUGGGAAGCUAGAGUAUGGGAGAGGAUGGUAGAAUUCCAGGUGUAGCGGUGAAAUGCGUAGAGAUCUGGAGGAAUACCGAUGGCGAAGGCAGCCAUCUGGCCUAAUACUGACGCUGAGGUACGAAAGCAUGGGGAGCAAACAGGAUUAGAUACCCUGGUAGUCCAUGCCGUAAACGAUGUCUACUAGCCGUUGGGGCCUUUGAGGCUUUAGUGGCGCAGCUAACGCGAUAAGUAGACCGC